GUCGUCGUUGUCGUCGUGUGUGAACGUGGCACGUGUUGAAUUUUAAGUAUACCAAAGGUGUUUGUCAUUCUUCUGUGAACGCAGUGUUGUACACCGCCUGCUGCUACAUAGAAUCGAUGAUAGGCGGAGCAUAGAAUAGGGCUCUGUAGUUUAGCAAAACAAUAGUCCACUAAAACAGGGCCAGGCACCCUAAAUUGGGAGUAGGGAGGAGGAAAUUAAUCUAAAGGUAAGUCGACGACGCUGAAUCGAAUGGUGCUAAUAUUUUUGCAAUAGCAUCCUUCGUUUUAGCAUUUAUUUCUUCUCGUUUGCUAAUCUUUCUAUAUUUUUUUCUCUUAGAUAAAAAGCUAAUAAAACUGACAAAGAUUAUUCCUGGCAUAAGAAGAAGAAGAAAA
Molecule: long non-coding RNA, 392 nt
Filed under: Polistes fuscatus (common paper wasp)
Lineage: Eukaryota; Metazoa; Arthropoda; Insecta; Hymenoptera; Vespidae
Description: uncharacterized LOC122515655
Source: RNAcentral